CGGCGUGUAGCUCAACAGCCAGAGCACCGGGCUCGAAACCCGAGGGGCGCAGGGGCAGCACCUGCCACGCCGC
Molecule: transfer RNA, 73 nt
Filed under: Actinomycetospora corticicola
Lineage: Bacteria; Bacillati; Actinomycetota; Actinomycetes; Pseudonocardiales; Pseudonocardiaceae
Rfam family: tRNA
About the family: Transfer RNA (tRNA) molecules are approximately 80 nucleotides in length. Their secondary structure includes four short double-helical elements and three loops (D, anti-codon, and T loops).
Source: Rfam by way of RNAcentral